CCUAAGAAUUCCUCUUCUCUUGCUGGGAGUGAAUGUCCAGCUGGCCAUUACUGCCCCCCUGGUACAGCUUCAGCGACUCAAUACCCAUGCCCCAGGGGGACUUACAACCCACAGAUCGGCAGCAGUCAUGUUUCUCACUGUAUCCCUUGUGAUCCAGGUCAUUACUGUGCAUUAGCAGGACAGUCACGUGUCACAGGACCUUGUUCAGCUGGAUAUUACUGCAGUGCAGGGAUUGCCACCCCAACACCUACCAGUGGCCUGAGGGGGAACAUAUGCCCGGUGGGAAAUUACUGCCCUAAAGGAUCUGCUCUUCCACAUCCGUGCCCUCUUGGUUAUUAUAGCAAUUCUACCCGGAAUACUGAGAUGGGAGACUGCCUCCUCUGUGACGCAGGGUAUUUCUGCAAUGGAACUGGACUCAUAUCUCCUGCUGGUGUCUGUGAAGCUGGGUUCUAUUGCACAAGAGGAGCUGUUUCUCCUAGACCUUCCAAAACCACAAGCAGUGGCGGGCCAUGUCCCCCAGGACACUACUGCACAGUGGGGAGCAGCAGAGCACAGCCAUGCCCUGCAGGGAGCUACAGCCCAUUCUGGGACAUGGUGCAGUGUUUGGAGUGCCCAGAAGGCUUUUACUGUAAGGCUGGUUCCAGUAA
This is a long non-coding RNA of Mauremys mutica (yellowpond turtle), 647 nucleotides long. RefSeq lists it as uncharacterized. The transcript has 4 exons. Lineage: Eukaryota; Metazoa; Chordata; Testudines; Geoemydidae. The record is from RefSeq and is a predicted model, not a curated record.